This 562-nucleotide ribosomal RNA is filed under the name uncultured bacterium. RNAcentral's name for it is "bacterial SSU rRNA". It matches the Rfam family "Bacterial small subunit ribosomal RNA", at positions 364 to 917 of the family's 1533-position model. The record is from RNAcentral.
UUGCGCAUGGGGGAAACCCUGNCGCAGCAACGCCGCGUGGGUGAUGAAGGCCUUCGGGUCGUAAAGCCCUGUCAGGUGGGAAGAAACUUGUGGAUGCUAAUAUCAUCCACACUUGACGGUACCACCGGAGGAAGCACCGGCUAACUCCGUGCCAGCAGCCGCGGUAAUACGGAGGGUGCAAGCGUUGUUCGGAAUUAUUGGGCGUAAAGCGCGUGUAGGUGGUUGGGUAAGUCAGAUGUGAAAGUCUUCUGCUUAACAGAAGAAGUGCAUUUGAGACUGCUCGGCUAGAGUACGGGAGAGGAGAGUGGAAUUCCCGGUGUAGAGGUGAAAUUCGUAGAUAUCGGGAGGAACACCAGUGGCGAAGGCGGCUCUCUGGUCCGAUACUGACGCUGAGACGCGAAAGCGUGGGGAGCAAACAGGAUUAGAUACCCUGGUAGUCCACGCCGUAAACGAUGGGCACUAGGUGUAGGAGGUAUUGACCCCUUCUGUGCCGAAGCUAACGCAUUAAGUGCCCCGCCUGGGGAGUACGGCCGCAAGGCUAAAACUCAAAAAAAUUGACGGA